AACUUUCGACAAUGGAUCACUUGGCUCUCGCAUCGAUGAAGAACGCAGCGAAUUGUGAUAAGUAAUGUGAAUUGCAGAUUUUCAGUGAAUCAUCGAAUCUUUGAACGCACCUUGCGCUCCUUGGUAUUCCGAGGAGCAUGCCUGUUUGAGUGUCAUGGAAUUCUCAACCAUGUCUUGAUUGAUUUCGAGGCAUGGCUUGGAUGUGGGGGUUGCUGGCGGCGAAAGCGGUCGGCUCUCCUGAAAUGCAUUAGCGAUGGACAGCAAGUCUGACGUGCACGGCCUCGACGUGAUAAUGAUCGUCGUCGCUGGAGCGUCGGACGAGCACAAUAUAUGUCCCUUUGCUUCCAAUCCUUUGACUUGGGACUUGGACUUUCGAG
Molecule: unclassified non-coding RNA, 377 nt
Filed under: uncultured Boletus
Lineage: Eukaryota; Fungi; Basidiomycota; Agaricomycetes; Boletales; Boletaceae
Description: sequence contains ITS2
Rfam family: 5.8S ribosomal RNA (bases 1-155)
Source: RNAcentral